This 301-nucleotide ribosomal RNA is filed under the name uncultured bacterium. RNAcentral's name for it is "partial 16S ribosomal RNA". It matches the Rfam family "Bacterial small subunit ribosomal RNA", at positions 509 to 807 of the family's 1533-position model. The record is from RNAcentral.
CAGCAGCCGCGGGAAUACAGAGGGUGCGAGCGUUAAUCGGAUUUACUGGGCGUAAAGCGUGCGUAGGCGGCUUUUUAAGUCGGAUGUGAAAUCCCUGAGCUUGACUUAGGAAUUGCAUUCGAUACUGGGAAGCUAGAGUAUGGGAGGGGAUGGUAGAAUUCCAGGUGUAGCGGUGAAAUGCGUAGAGAUCUGGAGGAAUACCGAUGGCGAAGGCAGCCAUCUGGCCUAAUACUGACGCUGAGGUACGAAAGCAUGGGGAGCAAACAGGAUUAGAUACCCGUGUAGUCCCUGUCUCUUAUAC